This 1424-nucleotide ribosomal RNA is filed under the name uncultured Bacillota bacterium. RNAcentral describes it as "bacterial SSU rRNA". It matches the Rfam family "Bacterial small subunit ribosomal RNA". Lineage: Bacteria; Bacillati; Bacillota. The record is from RNAcentral.
UUUGAUCCUGGCUCAGGACGAACGCUGGCGGCGCGCCUAACACAUGCAAGUCGAACGAGAGAUGAAGAGCUUGCUCUUCAAAUCGAGUGGCGAACGGGUGAGUAACGCGUGAGGAACCUGCCUCAAAGAGGGGGACAACAGUUGGAAACGACUGCUAAUACCGCAUAAGCCCACGGCUCGGCAUCGAGCAGAGGGAAAAGGAGUGAUCCGCUUUGAGAUGGCCUCGCGUCCGAUUAGCUAGUUGGUGAGGUAACGGCCCACCAAGGCGACGAUCGGUAGCCGGACUGAGAGGUUGAACGGCCACAUUGGGACUGAGACACGGCCCAGACUCCUACGGGAGGCAGCAGUGGGGAAUAUUGCACAAUGGGGGAAACCCUGAUGCAGCGACGCCGCGUGGAGGAAGAAGGUCUUCGGAUUGUAAACUCCUGUUGUUGAGGAAGAUAAUGACGGUACUCAACCACGUUGUCCGGAAUUACUGGGUGUAAAGGGAGCGCAGGCGGGAGAACAAGUUGGAAGUGAAAUCCAUGGGCUCAACCCAUGAACUGCUUUCAAAACUGUUUUUCUUGAGUAGUGCAGAGGUAGGCGGAAUUCCCGGUGUAGCGGUGGAAUGCGUAGAUAUCGGGAGGAACACCAGUGGCGAAGGCGGCCUACUGGGCACCAACUGACGCUGAGGCUCGAAAGUGUGGGUAGCAAACAGGAUUAGAUACCCUGGUAGUCCACACCGUAAACGAUGAUUACUAGGUGUUGGAGGAUUGACCCCUUCAGUGCCGCAGUUAACACAAUAAGUAAUCCACCUGGGGAGUACGACCGCAAGGUUGAAACUCAAAGGAAUUGACGGGGGCCCGCACGAGCAGUGGAGUAUGUGGUUUAAUUCGACGCAACGCGAAGAACCUUACCAAGUCUUGACAUCCCUUGACGAUGCUGGAAACAGUAUUUCUCUUCGGAGCAAGGAGACAGGUGGUGCAUGGUUGUCGUCAGCUCGUGUCGUGAGAUGUUGGGUUAAGUCCCGCAACGAGCGCAACCCUUAUGGUCAGUUACUACGCAAGAGGACUCUGGCCAGACUGCCGUUGACAAAACGGAGGAAGGUGGGGAUGACGUCAAAUCAUCAUGCCCUUUAUGACUUGGGCUACACACGUACUACAAUGGCGUUAAACAAAGAGAAGCAAGACCGCGAGGUGGAGCAAAACUCAGAAACAACGUCCCAGUUCGGACUGCAGGCUGCAACUCGCCUGCACGAAGUCGGAAUUGCUAGUAAUCGUGGAUCAGCAUGCCACGGUGAAUACGUUCCCGGGCCUUGUACACACCGCCCGUCACACCAUGAGAGCCGGGGGGACCCGAAGUCGGUAGUCUAACCGCAAGGAGGACGCCGCCGAAGGUAAAACUGGUGAUUGGGGUGAAGUCGUAACAAGGUAACCGUAAUCGAA